CACGUUGAAACACCGGUUCUCGUACGAUCAUCGAAGUUAAGCAACAUCGAGCCUGGUCAUUAUUUAGAUGGGUGACCGCUAGGGAAUAACAGGUGGUGCAAG
This 102-nucleotide ribosomal RNA is filed under the name Acanthosepion pharaonis. The record is from RNAcentral. Lineage: Eukaryota; Metazoa; Mollusca; Cephalopoda; Sepiida; Sepiidae.